GCGGUGGGCUUGCCGCCCUUCAAGAGAGGUGCUGUCAAGAGAUGCGGCGUAUGCGAGACUAGGUUAGUUGUUCCUCCGUAUCCACUUGUGCGG
RNAcentral lists this non-coding RNA (93 nucleotides) under Oxyrrhis marina. Lineage: Eukaryota; Dinophyceae; Oxyrrhinales; Oxyrrhinaceae. The record is from RNAcentral.